AAAAACAUCGCCUCUUGAUUUACACAUAAGAGGUCCUGCCUGCCCAGUGACUUAAUGUUCAACGGCCGCGGUAUUUUGACCGUGUGAAGGUAGCGUAAUCAUUUGUCUCUUAAAUGGAGACCUGUAUGAAUGGCACAACGAGGGCUUAACUGUCUCACUCUUCCAGUCAAUGAAAUUGAUCUCUCCGUGCAGAAGCGGAGAUAUAAACAUAAGACGAAAAGACCCUGUGGAGCUUUAGAUUACAGAACACCCCCCCCCACCCUGCUGGCCUCUGUUCAUGUAUCUUCGGUUGGGGCGACCACGGAGAAAAUUCAUCCUCCACGCUGUACAAAGCACUAAACUUUUAUAACUAAGAGCGACAGCUCUAAGCACCAGAAUCUCUGACCUUUAAGACCCGGCUUUAUAGCCGAGCAACGAAUCAAGUUACCCCAGGGAUAACAGCGCAAUCCCUUUUUAGAGUCCCUAUCGACAAAGGGGUUUACGACCUCGAUGUUGGAUCAGGACAUCCUAAUGGCGCAGCCGCUAUUAAUGGUUCGUUUGUUCAACGAUUAAAGUCCUACGUGAUGUUU
This 569-nucleotide ribosomal RNA is filed under the name Kryptolebias brasiliensis. RNAcentral's name for it is "partial 16S ribosomal RNA". It matches the Rfam family "Bacterial large subunit ribosomal RNA", at positions 1809 to 2608 of the family's 2925-position model. The record is from RNAcentral. Lineage: Eukaryota; Metazoa; Chordata; Actinopteri; Cyprinodontiformes; Rivulidae.